This is a non-coding RNA of Schistosoma mattheei, 46 nucleotides long. The record is from Rfam. Lineage: Eukaryota; Metazoa; Platyhelminthes; Trematoda; Strigeidida; Schistosomatidae.
AUCCAGCUGACGAGUCUCAAAAUAGAACGAAACGCGCGUUCUGGAU